UCAAGUGAAGAAGCGCAUACGGUGGAUGCCUUGGCAGUCAGAGGCGAUGAAAGACGUGGUAGCCUGCGAAAAGCUUCGGGGAGUCGGCAAACAGACUUUGAUCCGGAGAUGUCUGAAUGGGGGAACCCAGCCAUCAUAAGAUGGUUAUCUUGUACUGAAUACAUAGGUGCAAGAGGCGAACCAGGGGAACUGAAACAUCUAAGUACCCUGAGGAAAAGAAAUCAACCGAGAUUCCCUUAGUAGUGGCGAGCGAACGGGGACUAGCCCUUAAGUGGCUUUGAGAUUAGCGGAACGCUCUGGAAAGUGCGGCCAUAGUGGGUGAUAGCCCUGUACGCGAAAAUCUCUUAGUCAUGAAAUCGAGUAGGACGGAGCACGAGAAACUUUGUCUGAAUAUGGGGGGACCAUCCUCCAAGGCUAAAUACUACUGACUGACCGAUAGUGAACUAGUACCGUGAGGGAAAGGCGAAAAGAACCCCGGAGAGGGGAGUGAAAUAGAUCCUGAAACCGUAUGCGUACAAGCAGUGGGAGCCCACUUUGUUGGGUGACUGCGUACCUUUUGUAUAAUGGGUCAGCGACUUAUUUUCAGUGGCGAGCUUAACCGAAUAGGGGAGGCGUAGCGAAAGCGAGUCUUAAUAGGGCGUCUAGUCGCUGGGAAUAGACCCGAAACCGGGCGAUCUAUCCAUGGGCAGGUUGAAGGUUGGGUAACACUAACUGGAGGACCGAACCGACUACCUUUGAAAAGUUAGCGGAUGACCUGUGGAUCGGAGUGAAAGGCUAAUCAAGCUCGGAGAUAGCUGGUUCUCCUCGAAAGCUAUUUAGGUAGCGCCUCAUGUAUCACUGUAGGGGGUAGAGCACUGUUUCGGCUAGGGGGUCAUCCCGACUUACCAAACCGAUGCAAACUCCGAAUACCUACAAGUGCCGAGCAUGGGAGACACACGGCGGGUGCUAACGUCCGUCGUGAAAAGGGAAACAACCCAGACCGUCAGCUAAGGUCCCAAAGUUAUGGUUAAGUGGGAAACGAUGUGGGAAGGCUUAGACAGCUAGGAGGUUGGCUUAGAAGCAGCCACCCUUUAAAGAAAGCGUAAUAGCUCACUAGUCGAGUCGGCCUGCGCGGAAGAUGUAACGGGGCUCAAACCAUACACCGAAGCUACGGGUAUCACGUAAGUGAUGCGGUAGAGGAGCGUUCUGUAAGCCUGUGAAGGUGAGUUGAGAAGCUUGCUGGAGGUAUCAGAAGUGCGAAUGCUGACAUGAGUAACGACAAUGGGUGUGAAAAACACCCACGCCGAAAGACCAAGGUUUCCUGCGCAACGUUAAUCGACGCAGGGUUAGUCGGUCCCUAAGGCGAGGCUGAAAAGCGUAGUCGAUGGAAAACAGGUUAAUAUUCCUGUACUUCUGGUUAUUGCGAUGGAGGGACGGAGAAGGCUAGGCCAGCUUGGCGUUGGUUGUCCAAGUUUAAGGUGGUAGGCUGGAAUCUUAGGUAAAUCCGGGAUUCUAAGGCCGAGAGCUGAUGACGAGUUAUCUUUUAGGUAACGAAGUGGUUGAUGCCAUGCUUCCAAGAAAAGCUUCUAAGCUUCAGGUAACCAGGAACCGUACCCCAAACCGACACAGGUGGUUGGGUAGAGAAUACCAAGGCGCUUGAGAGAACUCGGGUGAAGGAACUAGGCAAAAUGGCACCGUAACUUCGGGAGAAGGUGCGCCGGUGAGGGUGAAGGACUUGCUCCGUAAGCUCAUGCCGGUCGAAGAUACCAGGCCGCUGCGACUGUUUAUUAAAAACACAGCACUCUGCAAACACGAAAGUGGACGUAUAGGGUGUGACGCCUGCCCGGUGCCGGAAGGUUAAUUGAUGGGGUUAGCUAACGCGAAGCUCUUGAUCGAAGCCCCGGUAAACGGCGGCCGUAACAAUAACGGUCCUAAGGUAGCGAAAUUCCUUGUCGGGUAAGUUCCGACCUGCACGAAUGGCGUAACGAUGGCCACACUGUCUCCAGCAGAGACUCAGUGAAAUCGAAAUCGCGGUGAAGAUGCCGUGUACCCGUGGCUAGACGGAAAGACCCCGUGAACCUUUACUGCAGCUUGACAUUGAACUUUGACCUUACUUGUGUAGGAUAGGUGGGAGGCUAUGAAGAUCGGACGCCAGUUCGAUUGGAGCCAUCCUUGAAAUACCACCCUGGUAAUGUUGAGGUUCUAACUCUGUCCCGUAAUCCGGGACGAGGACCAUGUCUGGUGGGUAGUUUGACUGGGGCGGUCUCCUCCUAAAGAGUAACGGAGGAGUACGAAGGUGCGCUCAGCGUGGUCGGAAAUCACGCGUAGAGUAUAAAGGCAAAAGCGCGCUUAACUGCGAGACCCACAAGUCGAGCAGGUACGAAAGUAGGUCUUAGUGAUCCGGUGGUUCUGUAUGGAAGGGCCAUCGCUCAACGGAUAAAAGGUACUCUGGGGAUAACAGGCUGAUUCCUCCCAAGAGUUCAUAUCGACGGGGGAGUUUGGCACCUCGAUGUCGGCUCAUCACAUCCUGGGGCUGUAGCCGGUCCCAAGGGUAUGGCUGUUCGCCAUUUAAAGUGGUACGUGAGCUGGGUUUAAAACGUCGUGAGACAGUUUGGUCCCUAUCUGCCGUGGGCGUUGGAAAUUUGAAGGGGGCUGCUCCUAGUACGAGAGGACCGGAGUGGACAGACCUCUGGUGUACCGGUUGUCACGCCAGUGGCAUUGCCGGGUAGCUAAGUUCGGAAGAGAUAACCGCUGAAAGCAUCUAAGCGGGAAACUUGCCUUAAGAUGAGAUUUCCCAGAGCCUUGAGCUCUUUGAAGGGUCGUUCGAGACCAGGACGUUGAUAGGUCAGGUGUGGAAGCGCAGUAAUGCGU
Molecule: ribosomal RNA, 2850 nt
Filed under: Paris polyphylla var. yunnanensis
Lineage: Eukaryota; Viridiplantae; Streptophyta; Magnoliopsida; Liliales; Melanthiaceae
Description: bacterial LSU rRNA
Rfam family: Bacterial large subunit ribosomal RNA
Source: RNAcentral